RNAcentral lists this transfer RNA (51 nucleotides) under Proasellus ibericus. Its description in RNAcentral is "transfert RNA-C(TGC)". The record is from RNAcentral. Lineage: Eukaryota; Metazoa; Arthropoda; Malacostraca; Isopoda; Asellidae.
GGUUUGUUUUAUAGUGAAUUGCAAAUUUACUUUAGCUUAGAGCGUGAGCCU